Molecule: ribosomal RNA, 1531 nt
Filed under: Escherichia coli
Lineage: Bacteria; Pseudomonadati; Pseudomonadota; Gammaproteobacteria; Enterobacterales; Enterobacteriaceae
Description: bacterial SSU rRNA
Rfam family: Bacterial small subunit ribosomal RNA
Source: RNAcentral
AAAUUGAAGAGUUUGAUCAUGGCUCAGAUUGAACGCUGGCGGCAGGCCUAACACAUGCAAGUCGAACGGUAACAGGAAACAGCUUGCUGUUUCGCUGACGAGUGGCGGACGGGUGAGUAAUGUCUGGGAAACUGCCUGAUGGAGGGGGAUAACUACUGGAAACGGUAGCUAAUACCGCAUAACGUCGCAAGACCAAAGAGGGGGACCUUCAGGCCUCUUGCCAUCGGAUGUGCCCAGAUGGGAUUAGCUUGUUGGUGGGGUAACGGCUCACCAAGGCGACGAUCCCUAGCUGGUCUGAGAGGAUGACCAGCCACACUGGAACUGAGACACGGUCCAGACUCCUACGGGAGGCAGCAGUGGGGAAUAUUGCACAAUGGGCGCAAGCCUGAUGCAGCCAUGCCGCGUGUAUGAAGAAGGCCUUCGGGUUGUAAAGUACUUUCAGCGGGGAGGAAGGGAGUAAAGUUAAUACCUUUGCUCAUUGACGUUACCCGCAGAAGAAGCACCGGCUAACUCCGUGCCAGCAGCCGCGGUAAUACGGAGGGUGCAAGCGUUAAUCGGAAUUACUGGGCGUAAAGCGCACGCAGGCGGUUUGUUAAGUCAGAUGUGAAAUCCCCGGGCUCAACCUGGGAACUGCAUCUGAUACUGGCAAGCUUGAGUCUCGUAGAGGGGGGUAGAAUUCCAGGUGUAGCGGUGAAAUGCGUAGAGAUCUGGAGGAAUACCGGUGGCGAAGGCGGCCCCCUGGACGAAGACUGACGCUCAGGUGCGAAAGCGUGGGGAGCAAACAGGAUUAGAUACCCUGGUAGUCCACGCCGUAAACGAUGUCGACUUGGAGGUUGUGCCCUUGAGGCGUGGCUUCCGGAGCUAACGCGUUAAGUCGACCGCCUGGGGAGUACGGCCGCAAGGUUAAAACUCAAAUGAAUUGACGGGGGCCCGCACAAGCGGUGGAGCAUGUGGUUUAAUUCGAUGCAACGCGAAGAACCUUACCUGGUCUUGACAUCCACGGAAGUUUUCAGAGAUGAGAAUGUGCCUUCGGGAACCGUGAGACAGGUGCUGCAUGGCUGUCGUCAGCUCGUGUUGUGAAAUGUUGGGUUAAGUCCCGCAACGAGCGCAACCCUUAUCCUUUGUUGCCAGCGGUCCGGCCGGGAACUCAAAGGAGACUGCCAGUGAUAAACUGGAGGAAGGUGGGGAUGACGUCAAGUCAUCAUGGCCCUUACGACCAGGGCUACACACGUGCUACAAUGGCGCAUACAAAGAGAAGCGACCUCGCGAGAGCAAGCGGACCUCAUAAAGUGCGUCGUAGUCCGGAUUGGAGUCUGCAACUCGACUCCAUGAAGUCGGAAUCGCUAGUAAUCGUGGAUCAGAAUGCCACGGUGAAUACGUUCCCGGGCCUUGUACACACCGCCCGUCACACCAUGGGAGUGGGUUGCAAAAGAAGUAGGUAGCUUAACCUUCGGGAGGGCGCUUACCACUUUGUGAUUCAUGACUGGGGUGAAGUCGUAACAAGGUAACCGUAGGGGAACCUGCGGUUGGA